CUCCUACGGGAGGCAGCAGUGGGGAAUCUUCCGCAAUGGGCGCAAGCCUGACGGAGCAACGCCGCGUGAGUGAAGAAGGGUUUCGACUCGUAAAGCUCUGUUGUCGGGGACGAAUGUGGAGAUGGUGAAUAACCAUUUUCAAUGACGGUACCUGAGAGGAAGCCACGGCUAACUACGUGC
Molecule: ribosomal RNA, 180 nt
Filed under: uncultured bacterium
Lineage: Bacteria
Description: partial 16S ribosomal RNA
Rfam family: Bacterial small subunit ribosomal RNA
Source: RNAcentral